GAUGAACGCUGGCGGCGUGCCUAAUACAUGCAAGUCGAGCGAACGGACGAGAAGCUUGCUUCUCUGAUGUUAGCGGCGGACGGGUGAGUAACACGUGGAUAACCUACCUAUAAGACUGGGAUAACUUCGGGAAACCGGAGCUAAUACCGGAUAAUAUUUUGAACCGCAUGGUUCAAAAGUGAAAGACGGUCUUGCUGUCACUUAUAGAUGGAUCCGCGCUGCAUUAGCUAGUUGGUAAGGUAACGGCUUACCAAGGCAACGAUGCAUAGCCGACCUGAGAGGGUGAUCGGCCACACUGGAACUGAGACACGGUCCAGACUCCUACGGGAGGCAGCAGUAGGGAAUCUUCCUCAAUGGGCGAAAGCCUGACGGAGCAACGCCGCGUGAGUGAUGAAGGUCUUCGGAUCGUAAAACUCUGUUAUUAGGGAAGAACAUAUGUGUAAGUAACUGUGCACAUCUUGACGGUACCUAAUCAGAAAGCCACGGCUAACUACGU
This 496-nucleotide ribosomal RNA is filed under the name uncultured bacterium. Its description in RNAcentral is "partial 16S ribosomal RNA". It matches the Rfam family "Bacterial small subunit ribosomal RNA", at positions 28 to 506 of the family's 1533-position model. The record is from RNAcentral.